AGAGAUUAAAGGGACAGCUUUUAAGAUUAAAGAAGGAGCCAGACGUUUUACAAGAGUAUGAUAGAGUAAUUAAAGAACAGUUAGAGCUAGGUAUUAUAGAACCAGUUGUAGAGUUAGAGAGAGCUGAUAAGAUCCAUUAUCUACCACAUCAUGCUGUGGUUCGUAAAGAUGCAAAGACCGCUAAGGUCAGGGUUGUGUAUGAUGCAUCGAGUAAAGAGACUAAGAAGGGUGUAUCUUUAAAUGACUGCUUGCAUGUUGGGCCACCUCUAUCCCCGUUGUUGUAUCACAUUAUAUUGCGUUUUAGAGAAAAGCGAAUAGCGCUUGUAGCAGAUAUAGAGAAGGCUUUUUUAAAUAUUGAAAUUGAUCCGUGUGACAGAGAUUGUUUGAGGUUUCUUUGGGUGGGCAACAUACAUGAAGAUGAGGUGAAGCCAGUAGAGUAUAGAUUUUGUAGAGUUGUUUUUGGUGUGAACUGUUCACCAUUUUUGCUGAAUGCCACACUUCAACACCAUCUUGACCGCUUUUCGAAGGGUAAUCCUGUAUUGAC
Molecule: non-coding RNA, 544 nt
Organism: Paramuricea clavata
Lineage: Eukaryota; Metazoa; Cnidaria; Anthozoa; Malacalcyonacea; Plexauridae
Source: the annotation of a GenBank genome assembly